AUCCUACGGGAGGCAGCAGUGAGGAAUAUUGGUCAAUGGACGAGAGUCUGAACCAGCCAAGUAGCGUGAAGGAUGACUGCCCUAUGGGUUGUAAACUUCUUUUAUAUGGGAAUAAAAUGUUCCACGUGUGGGAUUUUGUAUGUACCAUAUGAAUAAGGAUCGGCUAACUCCGUGCCAGCAGCCGCGGUAAUACGGAGGAUGCGAGCGUUAUCCGGAUUUAUUGGGUUUAAAGGGUGCGUAGGCGGAAUGCCAAGUCAGCGGUAAAAUCGCGGGGCUCAACAUCGCUCCGCCGUUGAAACUGGCGU
Molecule: ribosomal RNA, 305 nt
Filed under: uncultured bacterium
Lineage: Bacteria
Description: bacterial SSU rRNA
Rfam family: Bacterial small subunit ribosomal RNA
Source: RNAcentral